AUCCUCGAUCUGCUGGGGGCAGAUAUAAUGGAUGUGGCUGUCAAAGCCGCCUGCGGUGAGGAUUUUGCCCUCUCCUGCGAUGGCCUCGGUGCCGGGGCCGACAAUGAUGUCGACGCCCGGCUGGGUGUCAGGGUUGCCUGCCUUGCCGAUUUUGGCGAUGCGCCCGUCCUUGAGGCCCACAUCCGCCUUGUAGAUGCCGGUGUGAUCCACAAUCAGCGCGUUGGUGAUCACGGUGUCCACAGCGCCUUCGGCGCGGGUGGUCUGGGCCUGGCCCAUGCCGUCGCGGAU
This 288-nucleotide small RNA is filed under the name Shimia marina. RNAcentral's name for it is "5' ureB small RNA". It matches the Rfam family "5' ureB small RNA". Lineage: Bacteria; Pseudomonadati; Pseudomonadota; Alphaproteobacteria; Rhodobacterales; Roseobacteraceae. The record is from Rfam by way of RNAcentral.